Non-coding RNA from Dermatophagoides pteronyssinus (European house dust mite), 73 nucleotides. Lineage: Eukaryota; Metazoa; Arthropoda; Arachnida; Sarcoptiformes; Pyroglyphidae. The record is from the annotation of a RefSeq genome assembly.
GACCGCGUAGCGCAGUGGAUAGCGCAUUGGACUUCUAAUCCAAAGGUCGUGGGUUCAAAUCCCACCUCGGUCG